GAAAUAUUUUUUAAUUAAGCUGCUAACUUAAUUUUUAGUGAAUAAAAUCAUUAAUAUUUCU
RNAcentral lists this transfer RNA (61 nucleotides) under Ampittia subvittatus. RNAcentral's name for it is "tRNA-Ser". The record is from RNAcentral. Lineage: Eukaryota; Metazoa; Arthropoda; Insecta; Lepidoptera; Hesperiidae.